RNAcentral lists this ribosomal RNA (468 nucleotides) under uncultured bacterium. RNAcentral describes it as "partial 16S ribosomal RNA". It matches the Rfam family "Bacterial small subunit ribosomal RNA", at positions 28 to 507 of the family's 1533-position model. The record is from RNAcentral.
GACGAACGCUGGCGGCGUGCUUAACACAUGCAAGUCGAACGGAAAGGCCCUGCUUUUGUGGGGUGCUCGAGUGGCGAACGGGUGAGUAACACGUGAGUAACCUGCCCUUGACUUUGGGAUAACUUCAGGAAACUGGGGCUAAUACCGGAUAGGAGCUCCUGCUGCAUGGUGUGGGUUGGAAAGUUUCGGCGGUUGGGGAUGGACUCGCGGCUUAUCAGCGUGGUGGUGGGGUAGUGGCUUACCAAGGCUUUGACGGGUAGCCGGCCUGAGCGGGUGACCGGCCACAUUGGGAAUGAGAUACGGCCCAGACUCCUACGGGAGGAAGCAGUGGGGAAUAUUGCACAAUGGGCGGAAGCCUGAUGCAGCAACGCCGCGUGCGGGAUGACGGCCUUCGGGGUGUAAACCGCUUUCGCCUGUGACGAAGCGUAAGUGACGGUAAUGGGUAAAGAAGCACCGGCUAACUACGUG